RNAcentral lists this ribosomal RNA (493 nucleotides) under uncultured bacterium. RNAcentral describes it as "partial 16S ribosomal RNA". It matches the Rfam family "Bacterial small subunit ribosomal RNA", at positions 28 to 506 of the family's 1533-position model. The record is from RNAcentral.
GACGAACGCUGGCGGCGUGCUUAACACAUGCAAGUCGAACGGUGAAGCGCCUUCCUUUUUGGUGGGUGUGGAUGAGUGGCGAACGGGUGAGUAACACGUGAGUAACCUGCCCCCUUCUUCUGGAUAACCGCAUGAAAGUGUGGCUAAUACGGGAUAUUCUGGGUCUGUCGCAUGAUGGGUCUGGGAAAGAUAUUGUUUCGGUGGGGGAUGGGCUCGCGGCCUAUCAGCUUGUUGGUGGGGUGAUGGCCUACCAAGGCGGUGACGGGUAGCCGGCCUGAGAGGGUGGACGGGCAGACUGGGACUGAGACACGGGCCAGACUCCUACGGGAGGCAGCAGUGGGGGAGAUUGCACAAUGGGCGCAGGCCUGAUGCAGCGACGCCGCGUGAGGGAUGGAGGCCGUCGGGUUGUGAACCUCUUUCGCCAGUGAAGCAGGCCUGCCUCGUUUGUGGGUGGGUUGACGGUAGCGGGAUAAGAAGCGCCGGCUAACUACGU